AUUGAACGCUGGCGGCAUGCCUUACACAUGCAAGUCGAACGGCAGCACGGGGGCAACCCUGGUGGCGAGUGGCGAACGGGUGAGUAAUGCAUCGGAACGUGCCCAGUAGUGGGGGAUAACUAGUCGAAAGAUUAGCUAAUACCGCAUACGACCUAUGGGUGAAAGCGGGGAUUGGUGGCAACACCGGACCUCGCGCUAUCGGAGCGGCCGAUGUCUGAUUAGCAGUUGGCGGGUAAAGCCCACCAAGGCUUCGAUCAGUAGCUGGUCUGAGAGGACGACCAGCCACACUGGGACUGAGACACGGCCCAGACUCCUACGGGAGGCAGCAGUGGGGAAUUUUGGACAAUGGGCGCAAGCCUGAUCCAGCCAUGCCGCGUGCGGGGAA
Molecule: ribosomal RNA, 385 nt
Filed under: uncultured bacterium
Lineage: Bacteria
Description: bacterial SSU rRNA
Rfam family: Bacterial small subunit ribosomal RNA
Source: RNAcentral